UUCUGGUUGAUCCCGCCGGAGGUCACUGCUAUUGGGAUUCGACUAAGCCAUGCGAGUCGAGAGGGUUCGGCCCUCGGCAGACGGCUCAGUAACACGUGGAUAAUCUGCCCUUAGGUGGAGGAUAACCUCGGGAAACUGAGAAUAAUACUCCAUAGAUCUAGGAUGCUGGAAUGUACUUAGAUUAAAAGUUCCGACGCCUAAGGAUGAGUCUGCGGACUAUCAGGUAGUAGUCAGGGUAAAGGCCUGACUAGCCUACGACGGAUACGGGUUGUGAGAGCAAUAACCCGGAGACGAUAUCUGAGACACGAUAUCAGGCCCUACGGGGCGCAGCAGGCGCGAAAACUUCACAAUGUGCGAAAGCACGAUGAGGGAAUCCCAAGUGCUUGCUCGUAAGAGUAAG
RNAcentral lists this ribosomal RNA (400 nucleotides) under uncultured archaeon. RNAcentral's name for it is "bacterial SSU rRNA". It matches the Rfam family "Archaeal small subunit ribosomal RNA", at positions 1 to 406 of the family's 1478-position model. The record is from RNAcentral.